RNAcentral lists this ribosomal RNA (468 nucleotides) under uncultured bacterium. RNAcentral's name for it is "partial 16S ribosomal RNA". It matches the Rfam family "Bacterial small subunit ribosomal RNA", at positions 28 to 507 of the family's 1533-position model. The record is from RNAcentral.
GACGAACGCUGGCGGCGUGCUUAACACAUGCAAGUCGAACGGAAAGGCCCUGCUUUUGUGGGGUGCUCGAGUGGCGAACGGGUGAGUAACACGUGAGUAACCUGCCCUUGACUUUGGGAUAACUUCAGGAAACUGGGGCUAAUACCGGAUAGGAGCUCCUGCUGCAUGGUGGGGGUUGGAAAGUUUCGGCGGUUGGGGAUGGACUCGCGGCUUGUCAGCUUGUUGGUGGGGUAGUGGCUUACCAAGGCUUUGACGGGUAGCCGGCCUGAGAGGGUGACCGGCCACAUAGGGACUUAAGAGCAGCCGAGGCGCGUACGGGAGGCAGCAGGGAGGAAGAUUGCACAAUGGGCGGAAGCCGUAUGCAGCAACGCCGCGUGCGGGAUGACGGCCUUCGGGUUGUAAGCCGCUUUCGCCUGUGACGAAGCGGGAGUGACGGUAAUGGGGAGAGAAGCACCGGCUAACUACGUG